RNAcentral lists this ribosomal RNA (233 nucleotides) under uncultured bacterium. RNAcentral describes it as "partial 16S ribosomal RNA". It matches the Rfam family "Bacterial small subunit ribosomal RNA", at positions 104 to 334 of the family's 1533-position model. The record is from RNAcentral.
CGGGACGGGGUGGAGUAAUGUCUGGGAAACUGCCUGAUGGAGGGGGGUAACUACUGGAAACGGUAGCUAAUACCGCAUAACGCGCAAGACCAAGAGGGGGACCUUCGGGCCUCUUGCCAUCGGAUGUGCCCAGAUGGGAUUAGCUAGUAGGUGGGGUAACGGCUCACCUAGGCGACGAUCCCUAGCUGGUCUGAGAGGAUGACCAGCCACACUGGAACUGAGACACGGUCCAG